Molecule: long non-coding RNA, 642 nt
Organism: Pseudophryne corroboree (corroboree frog)
Lineage: Eukaryota; Metazoa; Chordata; Amphibia; Anura; Myobatrachidae
Exons: 4
Source: RefSeq, a predicted model, not a curated record
CUGAGUGCACAGCAUGUAACGGCCCAGCCCCAGCCUCCCUCUUCCUGAUCCUAGAUGGAUGUGGCUGCCCUGACCUGCCUUCCCACACUGUCCCUGGGCAACAAAGCUACAGUCAGUGACAAUGACUUAUCCUGAGCCAGCGUAUGUCUGUCAAACUCGGUGGGAAAGAAAACAGAGGACUCUCGAUUUAGAAAAGUGAAUACAACGUCAUUUGUGAUAUUGACAGCCAAUCUGGAUUUUGCACAAACAACAGGCAAAGUGAACAUCUGAGAACUACUGUACUGUAAUGCCUUUGACACUCAGAAAUCACAGUGUCAUAUACUCAGUGACAGCAGUUCCUGAGGGGAUCCAGGAUGGAGAGAACAGUACUCCGGUGGCUUAGACUCUCAUGGUGCUGAAAGGACAGCUCUAAGAUAACGUAUAGGGAACAACUGAGCAUGCUCACAACUGCAGAAUAGACUGUCCCACUAGGGAGGCUCCAGCCCUGACUGAACAAAGGGUAGACAACAAUAAAUCAGUAUCGACAGGCAGCUGGAGAUGUACAUCUGGGAAUUGAGAUCCAACACAUGACUUAAAGGAAAUGUGAGGACAAGUAUACAUGAUUGCCAAGCAUUGUAGCGUUAGUAGAAUGUCUCAUUUGUA